CAGCCUGGACCUUGGGGUGGAUGACUCAACCCUUGCUAUCCAUACCGCCAUGCUGCGAUCAAUAUUCAACCCGAGUAGGACAAAGUUCUGGACUGGUUUAGACUGGACUGGAAAACAUCAACUCAGUCCUCAUGCCAGAGAAACAACACAAACAUGCACUGGCACUUGGUUGCGGUUCGUAUCCUGGUCUUGUUGUCUGGAUGCAAACCUCCAGCUCUGUA
This is a long non-coding RNA of Pseudoliparis swirei, 221 nucleotides long. RefSeq lists it as uncharacterized. The record is from RefSeq and is a predicted model, not a curated record. The transcript is spliced from 3 exons. Lineage: Eukaryota; Metazoa; Chordata; Actinopteri; Perciformes; Liparidae.